Molecule: long non-coding RNA, 867 nt
Organism: Oncorhynchus kisutch (coho salmon)
Lineage: Eukaryota; Metazoa; Chordata; Actinopteri; Salmoniformes; Salmonidae
Exons: 2
Source: RefSeq, a predicted model, not a curated record
CAUUUUUCUAUGGUAUUGAUAAGAGCAUGUCUUUGUCUAGGAUUGGCAGGCAGCAGUCGCGGGAUGCCCCCACCCAUUCCAUCCCAGAGGACAGACUUUACUGCUGCUGUCAAAGCUCUACUCAUGUCCAAAGAUGUUGCCUCAGAAAACAUCUGAAAGCAGCAUCUGGUUUGAUGUCUCCAAAGGUUUCAGCCUCCUGGCAAGCCAAAAUCUACAAGAUACAGCAAUCAACUAUUGACCAAUACAACUAAUGAAUUGCAUCAUUUGGUUUUAUUUAACAUCAAAUAAACAAUCCCCAAAGGGCCCAAAUGUAACAUUAGCCGCCUGCUCUGGUUUCAAACCUAAGCUAUGACAAGAACCAUGCUUGAAGAACUGGGGCCGAGGGAACCUCGGAGUCUCCAGGUCCUAGCUAGUUUCAGUUGCUAGACUGGCAUAUGGGCUGGAUCAGGAAACACAAGCUCAAUGAUGUCAUGACCAUCUGACCCCAGGGUGACAGGUUUGGGGAAUUUGUCUGCUAGUGGCCUCAGGCCAAAGUCAAGUAUGUCUAUGUUGUGCAUGUGGAUUUCAUUUGAACCAAUGCGAUCUCUCCAACCUAGAUUGCUCUCCUUGGGAACCCUCACUCACAGCAGGAAAUGGUUUUCAUUAGCAACAAAAUAGGCAUAAAUUACUCAAAUGUUUGCCAAUUCAUCACACACUGCAUUAUUGUUGGUUAAUGUUGCUUCACACACAUUUUUUUGCAAACAGUUUUUAAAACAAUGAUUACUUAAAAUGUUUACAUUGUUGCUAAUCUGUUUUGUGUGGAACUUUACUGCUCAUAAACUGUUUGACCACCAAAAUCUGUGCAAUAAAUGUCUAUGAUUUUCAGUC